Molecule: transfer RNA, 78 nt
Rfam family: tRNA
About the family: Transfer RNA (tRNA) molecules are approximately 80 nucleotides in length.
GGGCCCGUAGCUCAGUAGGAUUAGAGCGACGGCCUCCUAAGCCGUAGGUCGCGGGUUCGAGUCCCGCCGGGCCCGCCA